Long non-coding RNA from Zea mays, 146 nucleotides. RefSeq lists it as uncharacterized. Lineage: Eukaryota; Viridiplantae; Streptophyta; Magnoliopsida; Poales; Poaceae. The transcript is spliced from 2 exons. The record is from RefSeq and is a predicted model, not a curated record.
UAUGAACAGACUUUUAAGGGCAACCGGCCAUCACUAAGUUUGCUUCUGCCUACACUAUCCGCAUAUGAGGUUGGACAUCUUUUAUCCAUCUAUGAGCACCGGAUUGCAGUUCAGGGCUUCAUAUGGGGAAUUAACUCAUUUGAUCA